Molecule: ribosomal RNA, 603 nt
Filed under: Caulobacter sp. A-Sh-N-3-1
Lineage: Bacteria; Pseudomonadati; Pseudomonadota; Alphaproteobacteria; Caulobacterales; Caulobacteraceae
Description: bacterial SSU rRNA
Rfam family: Bacterial small subunit ribosomal RNA
Source: RNAcentral
CCCCCAUUGGAGCCGGCCCCGCUUUUCGAUUUAGCCUAGUUUGGUGAGGUAAAAGGCCUCCACCCAAGGGCGACGAUCAGUUAGUUGGUCUGAGAGGAUGAUUCAGCCCCCAUUGGGACUGGAGACACGGCCCCAAACUCCUUACGGGAGGCAGCAGUGGGGAAUCUUGCCCAAUGGGCGAAAGCCUGACGCAGCCAUGCCGCGUGAAUGAUGAAGGUCUUAGGAUUGUAAAAUUCUUUCACCGGGGACGAUAAUGACGGUACCCGGAGAAGAAGCCCCGGCUAACUUCGUGCCAGCAGCCGCGGUAAUACGAAGGGGGCUAGCGUUGCUCGGAAUUACUGGGCGUAAAGGGAGCGUAGGCGGACUGUUUAGUCAGAGGUGAAAGCUCCAGGGCUCAACCUUGGAAUUGCCUUUGAUACUGGCAGUCUUGAGUACGGAAGAGGUAUGUGGAACUCCGAGUGUAGAGGUGAAAUUCGUAGAUAUUCGGAAGAACACCAGUGGCGAAGGCGACAUACUGGUCCGUUACUGACGCUGAGGCUCGAAAGCGUGGGGAGCAAACAGGACUUAGAUACCCUGGUAGUCCACGCCGUAAACGAUGAGUCU